This 630-nucleotide ribosomal RNA is filed under the name uncultured fungus. Its description in RNAcentral is "eukaryotic LSU rRNA". It matches the Rfam family "Eukaryotic large subunit ribosomal RNA", at positions 24 to 664 of the family's 3401-position model. The record is from RNAcentral. Lineage: Eukaryota; Fungi.
CCCGCUGAACUUAAGCAUAUCAAUAAGCGGAGGAAAAGAAACCAACAGGGAUUGCCUUAGUAACGGCGAGUGAAGCGGCAAAAGCUCAAAUUUGAAAUCUGAUAUCUCUGAUGUCCGAGUUGUAAUUUGGAGAGACAUCUUCUGGAGGGGCCCAGCCUAUGUGCCUUGGAACAGGACAUCAUAGAGGGUGAGAAUCCCGUUCUUGGCUGGAUGUUCCCUCCCCUAUGUGGAGUCUUCUACGAGUCGAGUUGUUUGGGAAUGCAGCUCAAAAUGGGUGGUAAAUUUCAUCUAAAGCUAAAUAUUGGCGAGAGACCGAUAGCGAACAAGUACCGUGAGGGAAAGAUGAAAAGCACUUUGGAAAGAGAGUUAAACAGUACGUGAAAUUGUUGAAAGGGAAACGUUUGAAGUCAGUCGCGUCGGCCGAGACUCAACCUUGCUUCUGCUCGGUGCACUUCUCGGUUGACGGGUCAGCAUCAAUUUUGACCGCCGGAUAAAGGUCGGGGGAAUGUGGCAUCCUUCGGGAUGUGUUAUAGACCUCGAUUCGGAUACGGCGAUUGGGAUUGAGGAACUCGGCGCUCUGCGUCCAGGAUGCUGGCAUAAUGGCUUUAAGCGACCCGUCUUGAAACACGG